GACGAACGCUGGCGGCGUGCCUAAUACAUGCAAGUCGAACGAACGGAGACUGAGUGCUUGUCCUUGAUGAAAGCGAGGGGCGAACGGGUGACUAAUGCGUAGCUAACCUACCUGAUAGGGGUGGCUAACAGACAGCAACGCCAACUAAUACCGAUUAGUUCAUAGGAUUACAUGAUACAGUGAGGAAGGGCGUCGCAUGCCAUCUCGAAGAAACGGAGCUGCAUUAGCUAGUUGGUAAGGUAAAGGCCUACCAAGGCAAGGAUGCAUAGCCGACCUGAGAGGGUGAUCGGCCACACUGGGACUGAGACACGGUCCAGACUCCUACGGGAGGCAGCAGUAGGGAAUCUUCCGCAAUGGGCGCAAGUCUGACGGAGCAACGCCGCGUGAGUGAUGAAGGUCUUCGGAUCGUAAAGCUCUGUUAUUAGAGAAGAACAGCGCAGAGAGUAACUGCGAAGAGCGUGACGGUACCUAACCAGAAAGCCACGGCUAACUACGUG
Molecule: ribosomal RNA, 497 nt
Filed under: uncultured bacterium
Lineage: Bacteria
Description: partial 16S ribosomal RNA
Rfam family: Bacterial small subunit ribosomal RNA
Source: RNAcentral